GUAGACUAGUAUUCAAGCCUCGGCCUUCUGCCCGCUUCUGUCGAGUCCUUACUGGUCCAAAUCGGUCAGCGUAACCCAUUUCCCCAGCUACGCCACGCCCGGGGAGGAGUCCCCAUCUACGUACUGGACGCCACCUCAUCUUGUCGUUUGUGUCUGACACGCCCAGAGCCCAUUGAAGUUGGGGAGGCCGAAGUCCAGAGAGAUUACCUGCUCUAGGGUAAGCCAGCUGCCAUGUUGUGAGGAUACUCAAGCAGCCCUAUGGAAAGGUCUAUGUGGGGAAAAACGCCAACAAUGACUUGCCAGGCACAGGAGUGAGCCACCUUACAAAUGGAUCUUCUAGUCCAAGUCAAGCCUCCACAUGACUGCAGCCUGAUUGACCCUUGACAGCAACCUCUUGAGACGCUGAAUCAGAACUACCCAGCUCUCAAAUUCCGGAUUCACAGCACCUGUGAUCCAAUAAAUGUUUUUGGGCCAAUUACACUAUAAUAGAUAACUGA
This is a long non-coding RNA of Neofelis nebulosa (Clouded leopard), 497 nucleotides long. RefSeq lists it as uncharacterized. NCBI's taxonomy places the organism in Eukaryota, Metazoa, Chordata, Mammalia, Carnivora, Felidae. The transcript is spliced from 2 exons. The record is from RefSeq and is a predicted model, not a curated record.